RNAcentral lists this ribosomal RNA (386 nucleotides) under uncultured Chloroflexota bacterium. RNAcentral describes it as "bacterial SSU rRNA". It matches the Rfam family "Bacterial small subunit ribosomal RNA", at positions 986 to 1382 of the family's 1533-position model. The record is from RNAcentral. Lineage: Bacteria; Bacillati; Chloroflexota.
GCAAGAAGUAGGAACGUUGAAAGAGGGACCACCUGUAUCCAAUCAGGAAUUUGCACAGGGUGCUGCAUGGCUGUCGUCAGCUCGUGCCGUGAGGUGUUAGGUUAAGUCCUGCAACGAGCGCAACCCUCGUCGCUAGUUAAUUUCUCUAGCGAUACUGCCCGUAAAACGUGGAGGAAGGUGGGGAUGACGUCAAGUCAGCAUGGCCUUUAUGUCUUGGGCUACACACACGCUACAAUGGAUGGUACAAAGGGUUGCCAAAGAGCGAUCUGGAGCUAAUCCCAAAAAAACCAUCCUCAGUUCAGAUUGCAGGCUGCAAUGCCUGCAUGAAGUUGGAGUUGCUAGUAACCGCAGGUCAGCACACUGCGGUGAAUACGUUCUCGGGCCUU